This 492-nucleotide ribosomal RNA is filed under the name uncultured bacterium. RNAcentral describes it as "partial 16S ribosomal RNA". It matches the Rfam family "Bacterial small subunit ribosomal RNA", at positions 29 to 507 of the family's 1533-position model. The record is from RNAcentral.
AAUGAACGCUGGCGGCGGGCCUAACACAUGCAAGUCGAACGGCAGCACAAUAAGAUUUUUCCCCUACGGGUGGCGAGGGGCGGAUGGGUGAGGCGUACAUAAGCUUCCACUAUUUCUUGGGUAACAACGGAAAAAAACAUCCGCUAAUACAGAAUAUGUCCAACGGGUGGAAUCAGUAGAGCUUCGCGCCUUUGCUGUUUCAUAGAGACGAUGCCGGAUUAGCUAGUUGGCGUGGUAAGGGCACACCAAGGCAACGAUACGUAGCCUGCCUGAGAGGGUGAUCAGCCACACUGGAACUGAGACACGGUCCAGACUCCUACGGGAGGCAGCAGUGGGGAAUAUUCGGCAAUGGGCGCAAGCCUGAUGCAGCCAUGCCGCGUGAGUGAAGAAGGCCUUCGGAUUGUAAAGCUCUUUUAUUGGGAAAGAACAAAUGCGUAUUAAUCCCCGGCCGUUCUGACGGUACCCAAAGAGUAAGCCCCGGCUAACUUCGUG